AACGAACGCUGGCGGCAUGCCUAACACAUGCAAGUCGAACGAGACCUUCGGGUCUAGUGGCGCACGGGUGCGGAACACGUGGGAAUCUGCCCUCAGGUACGGAAUAACUCAGGGAAACUUGAGCUAAUACCGUAUGAUGACUUCGGUCCAAAGAUUUAUCGCCUGAGGAUGAGCCCGCGUCGGAUUAGCUAGUUGGUGAGGUAAAGGCUCACCAAGGCUACGAUCCGUAGCUGGUCUGAGAGGAUGAUCA
This 250-nucleotide ribosomal RNA is filed under the name uncultured bacterium. RNAcentral's name for it is "partial 16S ribosomal RNA". It matches the Rfam family "Bacterial small subunit ribosomal RNA", at positions 29 to 306 of the family's 1533-position model. The record is from RNAcentral.